GGAGAGAUGGCUGAGUGGUCGAAAGCAAUAGAUUGCUAAUCUAUCGUACUAUUUUAUUUAGUACCGAGGGUUCGAAUCCCUUUCUCUCCU
Molecule: transfer RNA, 90 nt
Filed under: Olisthodiscus luteus
Lineage: Eukaryota; Olisthodiscophyceae; Olisthodiscaceae
Description: tRNA-Ser
Rfam family: tRNA
About the family: Transfer RNA (tRNA) molecules are approximately 80 nucleotides in length. Their secondary structure includes four short double-helical elements and three loops (D, anti-codon, and T loops). Further hydrogen bonds mediate the characteristic L-shaped molecular structure. tRNAs have two regions of fundamental functional importance: the anti-codon, which is responsible for specific mRNA codon recognition, and the 3' end, to which the tRNAs corresponding amino acid is attached (by aminoacyl-tRNA synthetases). tRNAs cope with the degeneracy of the genetic code in two manners: having more than one tRNA (with a specific anti-codon) for a particular amino acid; and 'wobble' base-pairing, i.e. permitting non-standard base-pairing at the 3rd anti-codon position.
Source: RNAcentral